AUGCCUGGUACGGUACCUGAAUCGUGGCCGGGUCUGAUUGGUACUGAACUCAAUGCUGCAGUUCAGAUCAUCUCUCAGGAGAGGCCUGAUAUCAGAAUUGCCCGAGUACUCCCUCCAGGCGAGGCUCCAUCCCCACCGCCACAAGACCAAGUACGCGUUAUCAUUUACAACGUCGUUGGCCCAGUGCCUGAUACAUGGGUGGUUGCUCCUCCUGCACCAUACAUUGGCUAG
RNAcentral lists this ribosomal RNA (231 nucleotides) under Triticum aestivum (bread wheat). RNAcentral's name for it is "partial small subunit ribosomal RNA". Lineage: Eukaryota; Viridiplantae; Streptophyta; Magnoliopsida; Poales; Poaceae. The record is from RNAcentral.